RNAcentral lists this ribosomal RNA (449 nucleotides) under uncultured bacterium. RNAcentral's name for it is "bacterial SSU rRNA". It matches the Rfam family "Bacterial small subunit ribosomal RNA", at positions 330 to 794 of the family's 1533-position model. The record is from RNAcentral.
CCCAGACUCCUACGGGAGGCAGCAGUGGGGAAUAUUGGGCAAUGGGCGCAAGCCUGACCCAGCAACGCCGCGUGAAGGAAGAAGGCUUUCGGGUUGUAAACUUCUUUUAAGAGGGAAGAGCAGAAGACGGUACCUCUUGAAUAAGCCACGGCUAACUACGUGCCAGCAGCCGCGGUAAUACGUAGGUGGCAAGCGUUAUCCGGAUUUAUUGGGUGUAAAGGGCGUGUAGGCGGGAAUGCAAGUCAGAUGUGAAAACUAUGGGCUCAACCCAUAGCCUGCAUUUGAAACUGUAUUUCUUGAGUGCUGGAGAGGCAAUCGGAAUUCCGUGUGUAGCGGUGAAAUGCGUAGAUAUACGGAGGAACACCAGUGGCGAAGGCGGAUUGCUGGACCGCGACUGACGUUGAGGCGCGAAAGCGUGGGGAGCGAACAGGAUUAGAUACCCCGGUACA